Non-coding RNA from Danio rerio (zebrafish), 394 nucleotides. NCBI's taxonomy places the organism in Eukaryota, Metazoa, Chordata, Actinopteri, Cypriniformes, Danionidae. The record is from Ensembl.
CUCCAGAGUUUCAUGCAAUUUCAGAUGUUUCAUUUUUAACUUUCGACUUCUGUUUUAAUGGAAUUUGAUACCGCAUGGCGAACGGAAAGAAAAACCUCCGCAUUUCGUGAGUCGGUGGUCCUUUAAGGUAGUCAAAAAUCGCUGCUUACAUGGUAGACUCUUAACAUGAUCGCUCCGGCUGUGCCCUGUCAUUGCGCGCGUUGUGUGUGUGUGUGUGUGUGUGUGUGUGUGUGUGUCAACAAACCUGCCUAAAUGUCGUUGUCUGUAGCCACUAAAUCAAAGGUUACGAAUUGCCGUGAGAUUGCGUUGCACUCUCAGCUCACAUCAUUCAAAAGAAAAGGUCCACAUUGUACCCCGAUAAUGUCAACAGACUGGACUGUCUUAGCAUCUGGAU